This 5977-nucleotide long non-coding RNA is filed under the name Sparus aurata (gilthead seabream). RNAcentral's name for it is "lncRNA (ENSSAUG00010003373.1)". Lineage: Eukaryota; Metazoa; Chordata; Actinopteri; Spariformes; Sparidae. The record is from RNAcentral.
UUUCAGGUAUUCCACUCCAUGUACCUGAAAUAGCUUCCAGAGAGAAGACAUGUGGGAUAUGACGUGAUGAUCCAUGCCUCCAUGCUUGCUGCUCUGGAUCAUAACAACAAUGCAGUCAGGGAACAGAUGAUGGAGUCUUUAAAGGAGAAGCAGGAGAAAGUCGGUCCAGUGGAGGUGCAGAACAGAGGAGACCUGCUGGGUGAACUUGCUGCUCUGCCAGUGCAGGUCUGUCUGUGGUUUACUCUGUCUGUCUGUGGUUUACUCUGUCUGUGGUUUACUCUGUCUGUCUGUCUGUCUGUGGUUUACUCUGUCUGUGGUUUACUCUGUCUGUCCGUCUGUGGUUUACUCCGUCUGUCCGUCUGUGGUUUACUCUGUCUGUCUGUGGUUUACUCUGUCUGUGGUUUACUCUGUCUGUCUGUGGUUUACUCUGUCUGUGGUUUACUCUGUCUGUCCGUCUGUGGUUUACUCCGUCUGUGGUUUACUCUGUCUGUCCGUCUGUGGUUUACUCCGUCUGUCCGUCUGUGGUUUACUCUGUCUGUCUGUGGUUUACUCUGUCUGUGGUUUACUCUGUCUGUCUGUGGUUUACUCUGUCUGUGGUUUACUCUGUCUGUGGUUUACUCUGUCUGUCUGUGGUUUACUCUGUCUGUGGUUUACUCUGUCUGUCUGUGGUUUACUCUGUCUGUGGUUUACUCUGUCUGUCUGUGGUUUACUCUGUCUGUGGUUUACUCUGUCUGUCUGUGGUUUACUCUGUCUGUCCGUCUGUGGUUUACUCUGUGUCUGUCUGUGGUUUACUCUGUCUGUGGUUUACUCUGUCUGUCUGUGGUUUACUCUGUCUGUGGUUUACUCUGUCUGUCCGUCUGUGGUUUACUCCGUCUGUGGUUUACUCUGUCUGUCCGUCUGUGGUUUACUCCGUCUGUCCGUCUGUGGUUUACUCUGUCUGUCUGUGGUUUACUCUGUCUGUGGUUUACUCUGUCUGUCUGUGGUUUACUCUGUCUGUGGUUUACUCUGUCUGUCUGUGGUUUACUCUGUCUGUCUGUGGUUUACUCUGUCUGUCCGUCUGUGGUUUACUCUGUGUCUGUCUGUGGUUUACUCUGUCUGUGGUUUACUCUGUCUGUCUGUGGUUUACUCUGUCUGUGGUUUACUCUGUCUGUCCGUCUGUGGUUUACUCUGUCUGUGGUUUACUCUGUCUGUCCGUCUGUGGUUUACUCCGUCUGUCCGUCUGUGGUUUACUCUGUCUGUCUGUGGUUUACUCUGUCUGUGGUUUACUCUGUCUGUCUGUGGUUUACUCUGUCUGUGGUUUACUCUGUCUGUGGUUUACUCUGUCUGUGGUUUACUCUGUCUGUGGUUUACUCUGUGUCUGUCUGUGGUUUACUCUGUCUGUGGUUUACUCUGUCUGUCCGUCUGUGGUUUACUCUGUGUCUGUCUGUGGUUUACUCCGUCUGUGGUUUACUCUGUCUGUGGUUUACUCUGUCUGUCUGUCUGUGGUUUACUCUGUCUGUCCGUCUGUGGUUUACUCUGUCUGUGGUUUACUCUGUCUGUGGUUUACUCUGUCUGUGGUUUACUCCGUCCGUCUGUGGUUUACUCCGUCCGUCUGUGGUUUACUCCGUCCGUCUGUGGUUUACUCUGUCUGUGGUUUACUCUGUCCGUCCGUCCGUCUGUGGUUUACUCCGUCCGUCUGUGGUUUACUCCGUCCGUCUGUGGUUUACUCCGUCCGUCUGUGGUUUACUCUGUCUGUCUGUGGUUUACUCUGUCUGUGGUUUACUCUGUCUGUCUGUGGUUUACUCUGUCUGUGGUUUACUCUGUCUGUGGUUUACUCUGUCUGUCUGUGGUUUACUCUGUCUGUCCGUCUGUGGUUUACUCUGUGUCUGUCUGUGGUUUACUCUGUCUGUGGUUUACUCUGUCUGUCUGUGGUUUACUCUGUCUGUGGUUUACUCUGUCUGUCCGUCUGUGGUUUACUCUGUCUGUGGUUUACUCUGUCUGUCCGUCUGUGGUUUACUCCGUCUGUCCGUCUGUGGUUUACUCUGUCUGUCUGUGGUUUACUCUGUCUGUGGUUUACUCUGUCUGUCUGUGGUUUACUCUGUCUGUGGUUUACUCUGUCUGUCUGUGGUUUACUCUGUCUGUCUGUGGUUUACUCUGUCUGUGGUUUACUCUGUGUCUGUCUGUGGUUUACUCUGUCUGUGGUUUACUCUGUGUCUGUCUGUGGUUUACUCUGUCUGUGGUUUACUCUGUCUGUCCGUCUGUGGUUUACUCUGUGUCUGUCUGUGGUUUACUCCGUCUGUGGUUUACUCUGUCUGUGGUUUACUCUGUCUGUCUGUCUGUGGUUUACUCUGUCUGUCCGUCUGUGGUUUACUCUGUCUGUGGUUUACUCUGUCUGUCUGUCUGUGGUUUACUCUGUCUGUCCGUCUGUGGUUUACUCUGUCUGUGGUUUACUCUGUCUGUGGUUUACUCCGUCUGUGGUUUACUCCGUCCGUCUGUGGUUUACUCCGUCCGUCUGUGGUUUACUCUGUCUGUGGUUUACUCUGUCCGUCCGUCCGUGGUUUACUCCGUCCGUCUGUGGUUUACUCCGUCCGUCUGUGGUUUACUCUGUCCGUCUGUGGUUUACUCCGUCCGUCUGUGGUUUACUCUGUCUGUCUGUGGUUUACUCUGUCUGUGGUUUACUCUGUCCGUCCGUCCGUCUGUCUGUGGUUUACUCUGUCUGUCUGUGGUAGGGGUGGGUGAGGGAUAUUGUUUGCGAUUGCUGUUGGAGUUAUUCAAAUUUAUAAAUAUGGUUAUGAAAUACCGUAAGUAACAAAAUAAAUACAUGCUUCAACAAAUAGUUGCACGAGUUCAGCUUGGACUAAUAAUGUGUAUCACUGAGAUAAUCUCACACACAUUUUAACUAUAAAAUAUCUUAUUAUUGUUUACAAUUGUUUUGAAGACAAAUUCAUUAACUUCGGGCUUCACGUCACAUGUUUACACCUACCUCUGAGGGGCUUCUGGAAAAGGAGGAAUGUUAUGCCUCCGUUUUAGAAAGCCGAUCACAGCAGCUAUCACAUAUCACCUAGCCAAGAUACGGACCCAAUACACACUGUACAACAUGAGGGAUUAAAGGAUGCCCUCUCAUCUUGGAGACUAUUUUUUUUUUUUUUGUAAAAAUCAUUUCUCAUCCAAUGAAAACAUCGUAGUAUGGCAGAGGCAUAGUAGUAUGCCUCUGUCAUACUACUAUGUUGUUUUGUUCUGUUCAAGUUCAUCAGUGCAAUAAACAUGUUGUGAAAAAAUUUGUGCCAGAGAAUCGUGAUCUCAAUUCUGAGCAAAAAAAUUGUGAUUCACAUUUUUUCCAGAAUCGUGCAGCCCUACUCCACGACUGGGAGAGUGCUGCCCGACCCAAUCAGAACCGGGUCACCAAUAGGUAGCCUCUAAACAUCAUUGUAAUGUAAAACUGUGGGGACUCUGCCGCGGCGCUGUCCAGGUUGAUGACCCUCCUGCCGGUUAGCUAGGAGCAGCUACGGAGCUGUCCAGAGUGCUUAGUGGUCCCGCCUUAUUUAUAUUAAACAUGUGUUGAAUAAAGAGUAUCAUGGAUUAAACUGAGUUUGAUUGCUGGCUGUUUGUAUGCUUUUCUGCCCAACAGAUCAUAAUGUAUGAAAUUACACCAAAUAACACCCUUAUUUUGCACAUACAUUUGAUUGACACAUCUAUAAGAGGACCAUGUUAUUUUUAUAUAUCAAUAGUAUGUUUGCUAUCCAUCCAUCAGCUGCAAUCAGUAACUCAAGUCCUCAGAUGAAAACCCAUAAAAGUUACUGUUAAGUAUUAAUCUGAAUUUGGAACUUUACUGUCCUACUUUUUUCAUUGAUUGAUUUCUGGAUCAAAAACACAUAAGACGGUUGUAGGAGCCAAAAUGUGCAUCUGUUCUGAAUUGUUCACUUUUGUUUAGGCAGCGCACAUUAUCAUUAUUGUUUUUUGUUUUGUCAUCUUGUUAUGAUUUCAGGUAAGAGGAAGUGGGUUUGGCCUCCACAUUAUUUCACCUGCACAGUUUGUUCGCGGGUACGCUAGUAGACAAAGAAGGCUGAGUGACUCUUUGACCGUAAUUUUUUUGUAACUUUGGCCAUCAUUUUUCUACUUGAUUUUGACCAUAACUUUUGUUAAUAAACUCAAGAAACUUAUCUGGAAUUGGACUAAAGUUUUUCAUUCAACGAGACACAGAAAGGAGCCUGCUUUGCCUAUAAGCGGAUUAUUAUUAAAUUAAAUAAGACGCUACAACGGUAAUCCAAAAGGAUGACAUGCAAAAGUGUCAGACUUAUUUCCAGCAUGGUCCUUGGUGUUACACAUAAAACAACUAAACAAGAGGCAGACACAACACAGAACACAAGAACUUCAGGCCAUGUUUGUCAUUUAAUACAGUGGACUGAGGGUUGUGUUAGUUUACCUGUGCACACAGUAGGCUAUACUGCACAAUUACAUUCUUACAGUUUAAGGCAAACAGCUUGUAGCAUUAUUUCAUAAAUGAAUAGUAAGGUUCUUUUUUAAAUGAAUGCUCUGGUUGCAGGUCUUACAGAUAUGCCUCAUAUCGUCAGUUUACAUGGCGGAUGCACGGCAGACGAGGGAGAAGAAUCCGCAGAGUCAUUCCUGCAUGUGCAGUUAACAAAAUAAGAAAUGUCUACCCAGAACCAAGUGGAAUCUAUACAGGGUUUAAGGAUGGAGAUAUUGAUGAUACAGAAGUAGAUGAAUCAUGGAGAUAUUUCAAUAACUGUGAAACACUUGAACAUUUGAAUGCAUUUCAUCAGGAGCACUUUCAUUUCCUGCAAUGUUUAAACUACUUUUCUGUUUCAGUCAUGCAGGGUUCAGCUAAAUCGGCUAGAAUACAAAACUGUUGAUGGUUUAAAAGAAAAUGUUUUGACAAAAUGACAGUAAAUCUGUUUUAUGCUGUUUGGAAUAUGCUGUUGAACACAGACCCCUUGACUAGAAUGUAAAAUGAAAGUCAAUGUGGAUGUAAAAAAUGCUGGUGUGCACAUCAUGUGUUUGUAAUGAUGCUUGAACUACUUGAAACGUGAGGACUGCUGUGUUUGAACAAUGAUCUGUGAUCUGGGCAGUCUGUCUUGUGGAGCCAUGAUCUGAGUUUGAGUCUCUCUCAUGUCCAUGCCCUGGUUUGAAUCUGACACAGAGGAGAGAACAGCUGCCACCAGAGCCUUCAUGUAUCCACAGUCCUUCUGAACAGACACUGGUCUUGCUCUGAAUCUCUCGUGGACUUGGCUCCAUGAGAUUCUGAACUUGGGUUCACCGACACUCUCCCCAUCUUGGUAAACAGCCUGUUCAAAAACAGAAACGUGGAAAUAGCUUAAAAAUGUAUAUAGGAGCAUUAUGAGAUUUCUUGUGGCAGUUUGCCCUUGAUUUCUGACACUGAGAUUGGUUUUAGUUGUAUGGUUUAUUUGAUAGGGACAGAUACAAACACAGACAGACUGAAAACAGCUUUCCCAUACAAGUAUCACUGUAUUUAUGCUAAACUGCAACACCUGUCCCUAGAGGGGCUGUUGUAAAAUAAUAAUAAUAAAUGAUUAAAAAGCAAGAGAUAAAAAGAAGGAUGAACUUGGCAAAAAGACAGACUACAAUUAAACACACAUAUUGUAACAUAACUAGGGCUGAAACGAUUCAUCGAGUUACUCGAUUAACUCGAUUAUAAAAAUUCCUCGAGGCCAAAACUCUGCCUCGAAGCCUCGUUAAAUUCCUAUGACGCGCAGGGAUCUGAUUGUUCCACACGUUGUUCAGGAAGCACACCAGUGCGUCAUACAUGUUGAAUUUAGCUGGCUGGCACAAUUUAGCUCUGUAUUUGUAGUGAUGUGAUGCGGUUUGACUAGAUAUGAUGUUUAGCUUUGAUGUUUUUAACCUCUUCAACCCGAGCUGCGCAUGUUGCAUUAUACACCCUAUAAGAGCAUGCUAACCAUGUAGCAACAUAUUAAUGCAGCACACCAACUUAAUGGAAAGAAGCUCGGCUAAACGCUCAUGA